AUACCCUCAUUUCAUCGCAUGGUGGUUUGAGGAAAGUUUUUCGGUUUGGGAGGGUCUCGCGGCCUAUCAGCUUGUUGGUGGGGUAAUGGCCUACCAAGGCGACGACGGGUAGCUGGUUUGAGAGAACGAUCAGCCACACUGGAACUGAGACACGGUCCAGACUCCUACGGGAGGCAGCAGUGGGGAAUCUUGCGCAAUGGGCCGAAAGCCUGACCGCAGCAACGCCGCGUGCGGGAUGAAGGCCUUCGGGUCUGUUAACCGCUUUCA
Molecule: ribosomal RNA, 267 nt
Filed under: uncultured bacterium
Lineage: Bacteria
Description: partial 16S ribosomal RNA
Rfam family: Bacterial small subunit ribosomal RNA
Source: RNAcentral